UUCAAACAUGUGCUCCAAUACAAUUAUACACACAUUGUUAUAAUCUUUUAUGAAAAUUUUGACAAAAUAAAUACAAAUAUUCAUAAUGAGACCAAGUGGUAAGAGAUAGGUGUAAAGUACAAGAUGUAAUGGAACUAAAACAUUUUGCACACAGAAACAAAAAUAUUUAAGCCACUUGAUGAUGUAUAACUCCAAAAAACUAAAUAAUUACUAAUCAAUUUAAUUGAACAAUAUAUCGAAGUCUAAUAAUUUAAAAUCUACCAGGAAAAAAAACAUCAACAAAGGUAAUAAAUAACACAAUAACAAAGUCGUAGAUAUUAACAAUCAUAACAAAUGUCAAAAUUAUAAAUUAUGUACCCAAUAUGUAAUAUGACUACUGCAAUACAUAUAUAUAAAAAGUCUAAGCAUACUUAUAUAACCAUUUUUGGUUUGCUAGAUAGAUUAAAAUCCUUACCUGAGACAUAAACUUAAACACUUAACAUGAUUGUUAUUGGAAUAACAGAAGUGUUAAUUGAAAUAGUGUAGCUUGUAAAAGGACAUGUAAGAGAAACUAACCCCUUGUUAAUCUACUCAAUACUACUAGAAUUUGACGGAACUUUUUUCCAAAACUAAGUCUCAAAUUCUAUCACUAAGUUCAACUUCUACAUGCUAAUGUCAUCUUCAUUUUUAACUGAAGCUUUUGCUAAAAUCCUUAUUAUGGUACAACCAGAUGCUCCGCAGGGCGUAGCUUUAUACGACCGCAGAGGUUGAACCCUGAACGGUUGGGGCAAGUAUGGACACAACAUUCAAGCUGGAUUCAGCUCUAAAUUUGGAUUGUGAUUAAAUAGUUGACACAGCAUAGGUUUCUGACACAGAAUGAAUGUGUUCU
RNAcentral lists this long non-coding RNA (868 nucleotides) under Mytilus galloprovincialis (Mediterranean mussel). The record is from RNAcentral. Lineage: Eukaryota; Metazoa; Mollusca; Bivalvia; Mytilida; Mytilidae.